CUCAGGACGAACGCUGGCGGCGUGCUUAACACAUGCAAGUCGAACGGUAAGGCCCCAGCUUGCUGGGGUACACGAGUGGCGAACGGGUGAGUAACACGUGGGUGACCUGCCCCGCACUUCGGGAUAAGCCUGGGAAACUGGGUCUAAUACCGGAUAGGACCGCACCGUGAGGGUGUGGUGGAAAGUUUUUCGGUGUGGGAUGGGCCCGCGGCCUAUCAGCUUGUUGGUGGGGUAAUGGCCUACCAAGGCGGCGACGGGUAGCCGGCCUGAGAGGGUGGACGGCCACAUUGGGACUGAGACACGGCCCAGACUCCUACGGGAGGCAGCAGUGGGGAAUAUUGCACAAUGGGCGGAAGCCUGAUGCAGCGACGCCGCGUGGGGGAUGACGGCCUUCGGGUUGUAAACUCCUUUCACCAUCGACGAAGGUUUUCUGACGGUAGAUGGAGAAGAAGCACCGGCUAACUACGUGCCAGCAGCCGCGGUAAUACGUAGGGUGCGAGCGUUGUCCGGAAUUACUGGGCGUAAAGAGCUCGUAGGUGGUUUGUCGCGUCGUCUGUGAAAUUCCGGGGCUUAACUCCGGGCGUGCAGGCGAUACGGGCAUAACUUGAGUACUGUAGGGGAGACUGGAAUUCCUGGUGUAGCGGUGAAAUGCGCAGAUAUCAGGAGGAACACCGGUGGCGAAGGCGGGUCUCUGGGCA
This 698-nucleotide ribosomal RNA is filed under the name Corynebacterium xerosis. Its description in RNAcentral is "bacterial SSU rRNA". It matches the Rfam family "Bacterial small subunit ribosomal RNA", at positions 23 to 735 of the family's 1533-position model. Lineage: Bacteria; Bacillati; Actinomycetota; Actinomycetes; Mycobacteriales; Corynebacteriaceae. The record is from RNAcentral.